AAUGAUUAAAGCUAAGAGGGAAUCCGAUGUAAUUUCGGGGCUGUACCCGCAGCUGUAAUUCUCAUCAAAAAUUAUGACAAUCUAUAAAGGUCACUGUAAAAAAAUUAUGGGAAGACCGUCAUAAAAAGAGAUAAGCCAGAAAACCUGCCAUAACAUAAU
Molecule: non-coding RNA, 159 nt
Filed under: fish gut metagenome
Source: RNAcentral